Molecule: long non-coding RNA, 306 nt
Filed under: Elaeis guineensis (African oil palm)
Lineage: Eukaryota; Viridiplantae; Streptophyta; Magnoliopsida; Arecales; Arecaceae
Description: long non-coding RNA (EGUI_LNC021584)
Source: RNAcentral
UGGGGUACAUCUACCGACAGAAUACUGGGCCUCUAAGUGCAACUUCCCCUGUAAGGUGUAUGGUAAGAUGCAUCAUAACUAUGAAAAAUGAUGAUGGAAAUAUCUUCUCCAGAUCAUAUAAUAUAGUCACCGUCCUUGCCUUUAUUUUUUUCACAUCUUUCUUAAGUAACCUCUUUGUACAAAUAUCUCUAUAAAAAUUAUAAAGAUGAAUAACAGUCAUUCUCACAUUUUAUAGCAACACACGAUGAAUAACUAUUGAGAUCAACUCUUGCAUCAACACAUGAUAAUCAUGAGUCUUCAAUCCAC